This 437-nucleotide ribosomal RNA is filed under the name uncultured bacterium. RNAcentral describes it as "partial 16S ribosomal RNA". It matches the Rfam family "Bacterial small subunit ribosomal RNA", at positions 29 to 507 of the family's 1533-position model. The record is from RNAcentral.
AGCGAACGCUGGCGGCAGGCUUAACACAUGCAAGUCGAGCGGGCGUCCUUGUGGUGUCAGCGGCAGACGGGUGAGUAACGCGUGGGAACGUGCCCUUCGGUUCGGAAUAACUCAGGGAAACUUGAGCUAAUACCGGAUACGUGCGAGAGCAGAAAGGUUUAUCUGCCGAAGGAUCGGCCCGCGUCUGAUUAGCUAGUUGGUGAGGUUAUGGCACACCAAGGCGACGAUCAGUAGCUGGUCUGAGAGGAUGAUCAGCCACACUGGGACUGAGACACGGCCCAGACUCCUACGGGAGGCAGCAGUGGGGAAUAUUGGACAAUGGGGGCAACCCUGAUCCAGCCAUGCCGCGUGAGUGAUGACGGCCUUAGGGUUGUAAAGCUCUUUUCUCCGGGACGAUAAUGACGGUACCGGAGGAAUAAGCCCCGGCUAACUUCGUG